This 24-nucleotide non-coding RNA is filed under the name Arabidopsis thaliana (thale cress). The record is from RNAcentral. Lineage: Eukaryota; Viridiplantae; Streptophyta; Magnoliopsida; Brassicales; Brassicaceae.
AGUGAAGAACCCAACGUAGAUGCA